GACGAACGCUGGCGGCGUGCUUAACACAUGCAAGUCGAACGGAAAGGCCCUGCUUUUGUGGGGUGCUCGAGUGGCGAACGGGUGAGUAACACGUGAGUAACCUGCCCUUGACUUUGGGAUAACUUCAGGAAACUGGGGCUAAUACCGGAUAGGAGCUCCUGCUGCAUGGUGGGGGUUGGAAAGUUUCGGCGGUUGGGGAUGGACUCGCGGCUUAUCAGCUUGUUGGUGGGGUAGUGGCUUACCAAGGCUUUGACGGGUAGCCGGCCUGAGAGGGUGACCGGCCACAUUGGGACUGAGAUACGGCCCAGACUCCUACGGGAGGCAGCAGUGGGGAAUAUUGCACAAUGGGCGGAAGCCUGAUGCAGCAACGCCGCGUGCGGGAUGACGGCCUUCGGGUUGUAAACCGCUUUCGCCUGUGACGAAGCGUGAGUGACGGUAAUGGGUAAAGAAGCACCGGCUAACUACGUGCCAGCAGCCGCGGUGAUACGUAGGGUGCGAGCGUUGUCCGGAUUUAUUGGGCGUAAAGGGCUCGUGGGUGGUUGAUCGCGUCGGAAGUGUAAUCUUGGGGCUUAACCCUGAGCGUGCUUUCGAUACGGGUUGACUUGAGGAAGGUAGGGGAGAAUGGAAUUCCUGGUGGAGCGGUGGAAUGCGCAGAUAUCAGGAGGAACACCAGUGGCGAAGGCGGUUCUCUGGGCCUUUCCUGACGCUGAGGAGCGAAAGCGUGGGGAGCGAACAGGCUUAGAUACCCUGGUAGUCCACGCUGUAAACGGUGGGUACUAGGUGUGGGGUCCAUUCCACGGGUUCCGUGCCGUAGCUAACGCUUUAAGUACCCCGCCUGGGGAGUACGGCCGCAAGGCUAAAACUCAAAGGAAUUGACGGGGCCCCGCACAAGCGGCGGAGCAUGCGGAUUAAUUCGAUGCAACGCGUAGAACCUUACCUGGGUUUGACAUGGAUCGGGAGUGCUCAGAGAUGGGUGUGCCUCUUUUGGGGUCGGUUCACAGGUGGUGCAUGGCUGUCGUCAGCUCGUGUCGUGAGAUGUUGGGUUAAGUCCCGCAACGAGCGCAACCCUUGUUCACUGUUGCCAGCACGUUAUGGUGGGGACUCAGUGGAGACCGCCGGGGUCAACUCGGAGGAAGGUGGGGAUGACGUCAAGUCAUCAUGCCCCUUAUGUCCAGGGCUUCACGCAUGCUACAAUGGCUGGUACAGAGAGUGGCGAGCCUGUGAGGGUGAGCGAAUCUCGGAAAGCCGGUCUCAGUUCGGAUUGGGGUCUGCAACUCGACCUCAUGAAGUCGGAGUCGCUAGUAAUCGCAGAUCAGCAACGCUGCGGUGAAUACGUUCCCGGG
This 1343-nucleotide ribosomal RNA is filed under the name uncultured bacterium. RNAcentral's name for it is "16S ribosomal RNA". It matches the Rfam family "Bacterial small subunit ribosomal RNA", at positions 28 to 1378 of the family's 1533-position model. The record is from RNAcentral.